CAAUAGCGUAUAUUAAAGUUGUUGCGGUUAAAAAGCUCGUAGUUGGAUUUCUGCUGAGGACGAUCGGUCCGCCCACUGGGUGAGUAUCUGGCUCGGCCUUGGCAUCUUCUUGGAGAACGUUGCUGCACUUGACUGUGUGGUGCGGUAUCCAGGACUUUUACUUUGAGGAAAUUAGAGUGUUUCAAGCAGGCGCACGCCUUGAAUACAUUAGCAUGGAAUAAUAAGAUAGGACCUUAGUUCUAUUUUGUUGGUUUCUAGAGCUGAGGUAAUGAUUAAUAGGGAUAGUUGGGGGCAUUCGUAUUUAACUGUCAGAGGUGAAAUUCUUGGAUUUAUUAAAGACGGACUACUGCGAAAGCAUUUGCCAAGGAUGUUUUCAUUGA
This 380-nucleotide ribosomal RNA is filed under the name uncultured eukaryote. RNAcentral's name for it is "partial 18S ribosomal RNA". It matches the Rfam family "Eukaryotic small subunit ribosomal RNA", at positions 592 to 976 of the family's 1831-position model. The record is from RNAcentral.